GGGUCAGUGAUGAAGCCUUUGCAUUUGUGUAGAUAUGUGCUGACUUAAAGUUCAUGCUCAAUGGAAUUACGAUGAGACCC
RNAcentral lists this small nucleolar RNA (80 nucleotides) under Carlito syrichta (Philippine tarsier). RNAcentral describes it as "Small nucleolar RNA SNORD115 (ENSTSYG00000024543.2)". It matches the Rfam family "Small nucleolar RNA SNORD115". Rfam says of the family: HBII-52 is a member of the C/D class of snoRNAs, which contain the C (UGAUGA) and D (CUGA) box motifs. HBII-52 is encoded in a tandemly repeated array with another C/D snoRNA, HBII-85, in the Prader-Willi syndrome (PWS) region of chromosome 15. HBII-52 is exclusively expressed in the brain but is absent in PWS patients. Lineage: Eukaryota; Metazoa; Chordata; Mammalia; Primates; Tarsiidae. The record is from Rfam by way of RNAcentral.